Long non-coding RNA from Alligator mississippiensis (American alligator), 499 nucleotides. RefSeq lists it as uncharacterized. The record is from RefSeq and is a predicted model, not a curated record. Lineage: Eukaryota; Metazoa; Chordata; Crocodylia; Alligatoridae. The transcript has 3 exons.
AGCCACCAGGUGCCUGACGAGGGCAGCCAUUUUGGAGGCAAGGGCUGCCUAUAUAAACAGGGCAGUUUGGCUUCUGGAGGCUAGGCAGCAACAUUGCCUGGCUGGAGGGCUGCUAAGAACAAUCUGGAAGUAAGGGAGGAGCUGAAGAGGAUGAACCACAACAAAUAGUUCAGGUGGAUGCUGCCUGCGAGACCCACCCCCCAGGAUGUGCAGCAUCCCUGGUGAUAUAUAGGACACUUUGAAGAUCUGAAAUUGAAAAUUUUCAGCAUUAAAGAAAGCAUAAAUCAAUACCCACCCAUUAGAAGCAACUUGUUUCAUUAAAUAGGACUGUACCUUUUUCUAUUUUCCUAUUUUUCUGUUAUUUUAACAAUUUUUGAAAUUUUCUUUAAUCUAUCAUUUUAAAUGAUUUAAAUGAUUCAUUAUAAUUUAUAAUAACUCUAUAAUUUUUAAUUUUUUAAUAGACAAAUAUUGUAAUUGCACCUCAUUUUCAAAAUAAAGA